AGUGAACGCUGGCGGCAGGCCUAACACAUGCAAGUCGAACGGCAGCACAGUAAGAGCUUGCUCUUACGGGUGGCGAGUGGCGGACGGGAGAGGAAUACAUCGGAAUCUACUUUUUCGUGGGGGAUAACGAAGGGGAACUUACGCUAAUACCGCAUACGACCUAAGGGUGAAAGCAGGGGAGCUUCGGACCUUGCGCGAUUGAAUGAGCCGAUGUCGGAUUAGCUAGUUGGCGGGGUAAAGGCCCACCAAGGCGACGAUCCGUAGCUGGUCUGAGAGGAUGACCAGCCACACUGGGACUGAGACACGGUCCAGACUCCUACGGGAGGCAGCAGUGGGGAAUAUUGGACAAUGGGCGCAAGCCUGAUCCAGCCAUACCGCGUGGGUGAAGAAGGCCUUCGGGUUGUAAAGCCCUUUUGUUGGGAAAGAAAAGCAGCAGGUUAAUACCCCGCUGUUCUGACGGUACCCAAAGAAUAAGCACCGGCUAACUUCGUG
Molecule: ribosomal RNA, 492 nt
Filed under: uncultured bacterium
Lineage: Bacteria
Description: partial 16S ribosomal RNA
Rfam family: Bacterial small subunit ribosomal RNA
Source: RNAcentral